CCUACCAUGCAAGUCGAACGGCAGCACAGGAGAGCUUGCUCUCUGGGUGGCGAGUGGCGGACGGGUGAGGAAUGCAUCGGAAUCUACUCUUUCGUGGGGGAUAACGUAGGGAAACUUACGCUAAUACCGCAUACGACCUACGGGUGAAAGCCGGGGACCUUCGGGCCUGGCGCGAAUGAAUGAGCCGAUGCCCGAUUAGCUAGUUGGCGGGGUAAGAGCCCACCAAGGCGACGAUCGGUAGCUGGUCUGAGAGGAUGAUCAGCCACACUGGAACUGAGACACGGUCCAGACUCCUACGGGAGGCAGCAGUGGGGAAUAUUGGACAAUGGGCGCAAGCCUGAUCCAGCCAUACCGCGUGGGUGAAGAAGGCCUUCGGGUUGUAAAGCCCUUUUGUUGGGAAAGAAAAGCAAUCGGUUAAUACCCGGUUGUUCUGACGGUACCCAAAGAAUAAGCACCGGCUAACUUCGUGCCAGCAGCCGCGGUAAUACGAAGGGUGCAAGCGUUACUCGGAAUUACUGGGCGUAAAGCGUGCGUAGGUGGUUGUUUAAGUCUGUCGUGAAAGCCCUGGGCUCAACCUGGGAAUUGCGAUGGAAACUGGGCGACUAGAGUGUGGCAGAGGGUAGUGGAAUUCCUGGUGUAGCAGUGAAAUGCGUAGAGAUCAGGAGGAACAUCCGUGGCGAAGGCGACUGCCUGGGCCAACACUGACACUGAGGCACGAAAGCGUGGGGAGCAAACAGGAUUAGAUACCCUGGUAGUCCACGCCCUAAACGAUGCGAACUGGAAUGUUGGGUGCAAUUUGGCACGCAGUAUCGAAGCUAACGCGUUAAGUUCGCCGCCUGGGGGAGUACGGUCGCAAGACUGAAACUCAAAGGAAUUGACGGGGGCCGCACAGCGGUGGAAUAUUUGUGGUUUAAUUCGAUGCAACGCGAAGAACCUUACCUGGCCUUGACAUGUCGCGAACUUUCAGAAAAAUGGAUUGGUGCCUUCGGGAACGCGAACACAGGUGCUGCAUGGCUGUCGUCAGCUCGUGUCGUGGGAAAGGUUGGGGUUAAGUCCCCCCACCGAGCGCAACCCUUGUCCUUAGUUGCAGCAACGUAAUGGGUGGGGAACUCUUAAGGAG
RNAcentral lists this ribosomal RNA (1120 nucleotides) under Stenotrophomonas sp. SBR11. RNAcentral's name for it is "bacterial SSU rRNA". It matches the Rfam family "Bacterial small subunit ribosomal RNA", at positions 47 to 1147 of the family's 1533-position model. The record is from RNAcentral. Lineage: Bacteria; Pseudomonadati; Pseudomonadota; Gammaproteobacteria; Lysobacterales; Lysobacteraceae.